This 749-nucleotide long non-coding RNA is filed under the name Homo sapiens (human). RNAcentral's name for it is "non-protein coding lnc-CTAGE1-9:15". Lineage: Eukaryota; Metazoa; Chordata; Mammalia; Primates; Hominidae. The record is from RNAcentral.
ACUUGGAGAAGUGCAACUUGCAGCAUGACAUGCUGGCUUUUCUCGCUGUGGAUUCGGUUCAGGGUUUUGCUCCAAAUCAAAAUGAUCUGGGAACUGGUUCUUCAAAAGAUUGAGUCUCUCACUUGGCCUUCUCCAGAAUGACAUGGGGAAAUGGAAGGAGAAAAAAAAAAACAAUGCUAAAAAGCCUAGAGAUGACCACAUAUGAAACGACCAUGUGUGUAAAGGAUUGCUGGAAAAUAAAUCAGAGAUGGCCUGGAUUCUGCCAUGUAAAUCAAAGAAGAGAGGGCCUAACUCAGCUGCCUAGCCUGGAUCACCUGGAACCCAUUAGGAUACAGGAUCAUAAACACCUCUAUUUUCCCUUCAGAGAGAGACCAGAACCACUGGAGUUAAGCUACCUGCAUAAGAGCUUGGGUCCCAGCUCCAAAAUGUCUCAUUAUCUGUAUUUGAAUAUCCCCAAAUUUGAAAAAUUCAAAAUCUGAAACACUUCUGAUCCCAAGCAUUUCAGACUCCUAAGAGUUAAUACGAAGUAGAAAGAGAAGUUGGAGUUAAGCAGCUCGUUCCAGUUCUGAUUUUGCCAUUUCCUGUCUGAGUGACCUGACUUCCCUCUCUGCCUCCAGCCAUGACUGUAAGUUUCCUGAGGCCCUCACCAGAAGCCGAGCAGAUGUUGGUGCCAUGCUUAUACAGCCUGAAGAACUGUGAGCUGAUUAAAUUUAUUUUCUUUAUAAAUUACCCAGCCUCAGGUGUUUCUU